RNAcentral lists this ribosomal RNA (107 nucleotides) under Lophiostoma caryophyllacearum. RNAcentral describes it as "Sigarispora caryophyllacearum partial 28S ribosomal RNA". The record is from RNAcentral. Lineage: Eukaryota; Fungi; Ascomycota; Dothideomycetes; Pleosporales; Lophiostomataceae. RNAcentral also lists the same sequence under 3 other names.
AAUGACCUCGGAUCAGGUAGGGAUACCCGCUGAACUUAAGCAUACCAGUAAGCAAACCCCACAAAUUGACCUCGGAUCAGGUAGGGAUACCCGCUGAACUUAAGCAU